ACGCGGGCGUUAGGGACGGGACGAGGAGGGCGAAGCGGCAGCGGCCGCGGCGCGCGCGGGGGCAAAGGGGCGGCAGCGGCGGGCGCGGCAGCCCCUGCGUAGGGUCGCGUCAGGGGUGGCCGCGCCUCGUUGCUGGGUUGGGGAGGAGGNNNNNNNNNNNNNNNCCUUAAGCCGCCGGCACCGCCGCUACCUGUAGAUGUUGCACCUCCGGCGGCUCUAGGAGCGGGUGCUCUGGGAGUUAGAGGGGUAGCCGCUCCGGCGGGGGUAGAUGCUCUUCGACGAGCGGUGGAAGGGCUGUCGCCGAUUCAUGACCUUCGUCAUACACCUCAGUAUGUAACAGUGCUUGCUACUUCUCUGGCGGUUCGUCUAUAAGUCGUCUACGGACGAGUGGACGGGAGUAUAAUUAGAGACCGCAACAAUGUAGUUGAAACAAUUUUUUCAUUUGUCGUUUUCCCCGAGACUCCCAGACCUUCUCUGUUUUUUCCGAAAACUAAAGUACGAAUUGAUACAGCCGUUACUACACCGUAGACCGGGGCAAACCUACCUCAUGUAACGUAAGAACUUCAGUUACGGCCAAUACUGCGGGGUCCUUCUCAGUGUGGCGUACUGAUGAUAUGCAUUUCAUAUAGUCUUCCGUUAAAAUCAAGGUUGAUCAGUACAGCUCGUCGAUACCUUCCUAAUACUAUUGAAGCUUUUAAGUCAAUCGGCGUGGAACCGUUUUCCGAACGAUAGACUCAUAGUUGGCUUCAAAUUGUCACGAUUCCGACAUAUAUCUCUCGCAUUCUUCAUAUAACUACUAUAACUAACCUCGUACGACCGGUGGGGGAGAUGUCCGAGGAUGUUCCGAAAGGUUGUUGUGGACAGUUAAAGACUUAGCUCUAGUCAUAAACUCUUCCAUAUACGAAUGACAAUUCUUGGUGAGAAACUGAGAAACAUAGUAAACUUUACGUGUAUUAACUUAAGUCUGAUUACAGAAACAGAAAGGGAUGUACGGAAAUUAUUAAGAGAACAGAUACCAAACGACCAUUUAGAAGGCUGUGUAACUUAUCAAAAGACUUUAGGAGAGACCAUCCCAUCAUCUACGUACGGUCAUAAAUUGACCGUCCAUUGAGUCUUGAGUAAUUAGACAAAGUGUCCUUCUCGUUGUCACAAACCGUACCUUUUCUGAAGACUGUAAGCUUUUCCCCUUAGGAGUUUCUUAACUACAAUGUCGACGAUUAUCCGCAUAAUGGAAAUGAAUACUCGUUACGGAUUACAUAGAUAUGGUAGUAGGACUACAUACCAUACUAAUACGAUGUACCGUACGUUUCUUACCAAGAUGCCUAAGACGUUAGUUUUAUAAAGUCGCACGACAUUUUCGUGAGGGACCAAGACUUCAUGAUUUUAUACGGAAACGACUUGACCUUCUCAGACAUCCCCGCUAAGUCGGACGAUUCUGUUAUAUACUCAGAGAAUAUCGACUUUUACGUUCGUACAGUAGUGAACGUGUGUAAGUCAAAUAAGCCAAAAAUUCCUCUUGUCUUCCGUAACUUCGUCGAGCGUUCAUGAAAAACCUUCAAGCCUUCAACGGUUCGACGUGAAUAGUACAGAUACAACGUAUACGAUGUUACAGCAAAACGGAGCUGUUUCUACGCUUCCACCGAGUUUUACAAAAACUUCAACCAAAUUUCGCUAAAUACGUUCUUGGUCCUAUACAGGAGCUUAUACGUCUGAAGGACACAGCGAAUUUGCUGCUAUCUUUACAUGCACGUAACAAACUCGCUCGAGACUCGAAUGAAGGAGGACUCCUUAGGCAUCUCCAUACCUUUGCUAAACGAGUUAAACUCGUCUAAAUACCCCUAAACAGUUCGUACAAUUUCCACCUUGUUUCUUCCUUCCUUCGAAAUAGAUCCUGUAGUCUUCUACAGCAUAGCAGGAAUCUCUUGUGUGAAAUACUGCAACAAAGAUCUAUAUUAAUAUACCUAGAGACCGGUACGAGUAGUUUUCUUAACCUAAUAGACAGUUCUGUCCUCACCGAACGUUUCUUGUACAGAUUCUUCCGACUGUCCAGUCAAUACGAUUGAUCACCACCGCCAAGAUGGAAUCUAUUUCCGUGACAACCUCAACCACGGUUACGUUUCAAUAACGGCGUCAGAUGUUUUCAGCAGGCAGGACUCUGAAGAGCUUACCAGUAAAUACUAGGAUCUGUCUACUUUCCUGGUCACUAAAGUCGGUGUAGGUCACCCAUGUGUUUCCUCCAACUGCUUUAUAAGUUUUACGAAAGAGGUGGUGAGUACAGAAAGUAGUGUUUAAACGGACGAUAACUUCCAGGUAGUGGUCUAUAUCUGUAACACGAAUCGCAAGAUGACGUUUCGUGUGACGGUUGUCCUGUACUACAACCGUUUGGCAGACGAGGUCAAGGACCGGGACGGUGUUCACUAGAGAGACCAGGGGCGUUGGUUUUACCUAGUCAAGCAUCUGGAGGUUUUUCCUUCCGACAACUUUCCGUUCUCCUUCUUCUGCGUCGUCGUCGACGCGUCUCAGCUCGGUACGGUCUAUAUAAGUCCGAGUCCGUCUAGGUCUCCUCGGCGCCACCCCCGGGACGAGUCAGACCUAGCCGCCGCUACAGGUCACCUUCGUACAAAAGGCCCCUUGUUAGUCGGUUGUCGAGUUCGAUCAAGUGGUUAGACAUCGAUCAAGAGACCUAAGUGCAUCAAGCGAGCCAUCUAUACAUCAAACCGGCGAGUACCCCUUUCAAUACGUACAUGUUUACAUUGUCGUCUGACUAUUUGGACAUCGGACAUCCGUACCGCUCACGUAACGCGCUCUUAUACUUGGCUUUCAGGUUUUUUGCUGUCCUCUAACGUCUUAGUCACAGUAGACCUACUCAUUUCCGGUCUAGUACCUCUUAUCGUGCUACACUGAUUAUACGUAAACUUCUUCGUUUGUACACGUACAUAACACUAAUGACCUUUCGUACUUAGACUUAGGACGCUUUGUUAUCAACACAGUUAAGU
Molecule: ribosomal RNA, 2996 nt
Filed under: Triticum aestivum (bread wheat)
Lineage: Eukaryota; Viridiplantae; Streptophyta; Magnoliopsida; Poales; Poaceae
Description: partial small subunit ribosomal RNA
Source: RNAcentral